This 546-nucleotide ribosomal RNA is filed under the name uncultured fungus. RNAcentral's name for it is "SSU rRNA". It matches the Rfam family "Eukaryotic small subunit ribosomal RNA", at positions 203 to 755 of the family's 1831-position model. The record is from RNAcentral. Lineage: Eukaryota; Fungi.
AUUUAUUAGAUAAAAAACCAAUGCCCUUCGGGGCUCCUUGGUGAUUCAUAAUAACUAAACGAAUCGCAUGGCCUUGCGCCGGCGAUGGUUCAUUCAAAUUUCUGCCCUAUCAACUUUCGAUGGUAGAGUAGUGGUCUACCAUGGUCUCAACGGGUAACGGGGAAUUAGGGUUCUAUUCCGGAGAGGGAGCCUGAGAAACGGCUACCACAUCCAAGGAAGGCAGCAGGCGCGCAAAUUACCCAAUCCCAAUUCGGGGAGGUAGUGACAAUAAAUACUGAUACAGGGCUCUUUUGGGUCUUGUAAUUGGAAUGAGUACAAUCUAAAUCCCUUAACGAGGAACAAUUGGAGGGCAAGUCUGGUGCCAGCAGCCGCGGUAAUUCCAGCUCCAAUAGCGUAUAUUAAAGUUGUUGCCGUUAAAAAGCUCGUAGUUGAACCUUGGGCCUGGCUGAUCUGUCCUCCUAAUCGAGCGCACGGAUUCGGUCGGGCCUUUCCUUCUGGGGAGCCGCAUGCCCUUCACUGGGCGUGUCGGGGAACCAGGACUUUUAC